Molecule: ribosomal RNA, 263 nt
Filed under: uncultured bacterium
Lineage: Bacteria
Description: partial 16S ribosomal RNA
Rfam family: Bacterial small subunit ribosomal RNA
Source: RNAcentral
UACGUAGGGAGCGAGCGUUAUCCGGAUUUACUGGGUGUAAAGGGAGCGCAGGCGGGACUUCAAGUUGGAUGUGAAAUACUGGGGCUCAACCCCGGGGCUGCAUCCAAAACUGUAGUUCUUGAGUGAAGUAGAGGCAAGCGGAAUUCCGAGUGUAGCGGUGAAAUGCGUAGAUAUUCGGAGGAACACCAGUGGCGAAGGCGGCUUGCUGGGCUUUAACUGACGCUGAGGCUCGAAAGUGUGGGGAGCAAACAGGAUUAGAUACC